GCCCCCAUCGUCUAGAGGCCUAGGACACAUCCCUUUCACGGAUGCGGCAGGGGUUCGAAUCCCCUUGGGGGUA
This 73-nucleotide transfer RNA is filed under the name bacterium. RNAcentral describes it as "tRNA-Glu". It matches the Rfam family "tRNA". Rfam says of the family: Transfer RNA (tRNA) molecules are approximately 80 nucleotides in length. The record is from RNAcentral. RNAcentral also lists the same sequence under 3 other names.